CAGCACCUCAAGUGGUCAGGAUGAUUAUUGGGCCUAAAGCAUCCGUAGCCGGCUCUGUACGUUUUCGGUUAAAUCUGUAUGCUCAACAUACAGGCUGCCGGGAAUACUGCAGAGCUAGGGAGUGGGAGAGGUAGACGGUACUCGGUAGGAAGGGGUAAAAUCCUUUGAUCUAUUGAUGACCACCUGUGGCGAAGGCGGUCUACCAGAACACGUCCGACGGUGAGGGAUGAAAGCUGGGGGAGCAAACCGGAUUAGAUACCCGAGUAGUCC
RNAcentral lists this ribosomal RNA (270 nucleotides) under uncultured archaeon. RNAcentral describes it as "partial 16S ribosomal RNA". It matches the Rfam family "Archaeal small subunit ribosomal RNA", at positions 477 to 747 of the family's 1478-position model. The record is from RNAcentral.